This 925-nucleotide ribosomal RNA is filed under the name Macrophomina phaseolina. Its description in RNAcentral is "LSU rRNA". It matches the Rfam family "Eukaryotic large subunit ribosomal RNA", at positions 24 to 964 of the family's 3401-position model. The record is from RNAcentral. Lineage: Eukaryota; Fungi; Ascomycota; Dothideomycetes; Botryosphaeriales; Botryosphaeriaceae.
UUCCCGCUGGAAAUUAAGCAUAUCAAUAAGCGGAGGAAAAGAAACCAACAGGGAUUGCCUUAGUAACGGCGAGUGAAGCGGCAACAGCUCAAAUUUGAAAGCUGGCUCCUUCGGAGUCCGCGUUGUAAUUUGUAGAGGAUGAUUCGGCGAGGGCUCCCGCCUAAGUCCCCUGGAACGGGGCGUCAUAGAGGGUGAGAAUCCCGUAUGCGGUGGGUUGCCUUAGCCAUGUGAAUCUCCUUCGACGAGUCGAGUUGUUUGGGAAUGCAGCUCUAAAUGGGAGGUAAAUUUCUUCUAAAGCUAAAUACCGGCCAGAGACCGAUAGCGCACAAGUAGAGUGAUCGAAAGAUGAAAAGCACUUUGGAAAGAGAGUUAAAAAGUACGUGAAAUUGUUGAAAGGGAAGCGCUUGCAGCCAGACUUGUCCGCAGUUGCUCAACCGGUCUCCUGACCGGUGUACUCUUCUGCGGCCAGGCCAGCAUCAGUUCGGGCGGUCGGAUAAAGGCCCUGGGAAUGUAGCUCCUCUCGGGGAGUGUUAUAGCCCAGGGUGGAAUGCGGCCAGCCUGGACUGAGGAUCUCGCUUCGGCUAGGAUGCUGGCGUAAUGGCUGUAAGCGGCCCGUCUUGAAACACGGACCAAGGAGUCUAACAUCUAUGCGAGUGUUUGGGUGUCAAACCCAUGCGCGUAAUGAAAGUGAACGGAGGUGGGAACCCUCACGGGUGCACCAUCGACCGAUCCUGAUGUCUUCGGAUGGAUUUGAGUAAGAGCAUAGCUGUUGGGACCCGAAAGAUGGUGAACUAUGCCUGAAUAGGGUGAAGCCAGAGGAAACUCUGGUGGAGGCUCGCAGCGGUUCUGACGUGCAAAUCGAUCGUCAAAUUUGGGUAUAGGGGCGAAAGACUAAUCGAACCAUCUAGUAGCUGGUUCCUGCCGA